GCUCAGAUUGAACGCUGGCGGCAGGCCUAACACAUGCAAGUCGAACGGUAACAGGAAGCAGCUUGCUGCUUCGCUGACGAGUGGCGGACGGGUGAGUAAUGUCUGGGAAGCUGCCUGAUGGAGGGGGAUAACUACUGGAAACGGUAGCUAAUACCGCAUAAUGUCGCAAGACCAAAGAGGGGGACCUUCGGGCCUCUUGCCAUCGGAUGUGCCCAGAUGGGAUUAGCUUGUUGGUGGGGUAACGGCUCACCAAGGCGACGAUCCCUAGCUGGUCUGAGAGGAUGACCAGCCACACUGGGACUGAGACACGGUCCAGACUCCUACGGGAGGCAGCAGUGGGGAAUAUUGCACAAUGGGCGCAAGCCUGAUGCAGCCAUGCCGCGUGUAUGAAGAAGGCCUUCGGGUUGUAAAGUACUUUCAGCGGGGAGGAAGGGAGUAAAGUUAAUACCUUUGCUCAUUGACGUUACCCGCAGAAGAAGCACCGGCUAACUCCGUGCCAGCAGCCGCGGUAAUACGGAGGGUGCAAGCGUUAAUCGGAAUUACUGGGCGUAAAGCGCACGCAGGCGGUUUAUUAAGUCAGAUGUGAAAUCCCCGGGCUCAACCUGGGAACUGCAUCUGAUACUGGCAAGCUUGAGUCUCGUAGAGGGGGGUAGAAUUCCAGGUGUAGCGGUGAAAUGCGUAGAGAUCUGGAGGAAUACCGGUGGCGAAGGCGGCCCCCUGGACGAAGACUGACGCUCAGGUGCGAAAGCGUGGGGAGCAAACAGGAUUAGAUACCCUGGUAGUCCACGCCGUAAACGAUGUCGACUUGGAGGUUGUGCCCUUGAGGCGUGGCUUCCGGAGCUAACGCGUUAAGUCGACCGCCUGGGGAGUACGGCCGCAAGGUUAAAACUCAAAUGAAUUGACGGGGGCCCGCACAAGCGGUGGAGCAUGUGGUUUAAUUCGAUGCAACGCGAAGAACCUUACCUGGUCUUGACAUCCACGGAAGUUUUCAGAGAUGAGAAUGUGCCUUCGGGAACCGUGAGACAGGUGCUGCAUGGCUGUCGUCAGCUCGUGUUGUGAAAUGUUGGGUUAAGUCCCGCAACGAGCGCAACCCUUAUCCUUUGUUGCCAGCGGUCCGGCCGGGAACUCAAAGGAGACUGCCAGUGAUAAACUGGAGGAAGGUGGGGAUGACGUCAAGUCAUCAUGGCCCUUACGACCAGGGCUACACACGUGCUACAAUGGCGCAUACAAAGAGAAGCGACCUCGCGAGAGCAAGCGGACCUCAUAAAGUGCGUCGUAGUCCGGAUUGGAGUCUGCAACUCGACUCCAUGAAGUCGGAAUCGCUAGUAAUCGUGGAUCAGAAUGCCACGGUGAAUACGUUCCCGGGCCUUGUACACACCGCCCGUCACACCAUGGGAGUGGGUUGCAAAAGAAGUAGGUAGCUUAACCUUCGGGAGGGCGCUUACCACUUUGUGAUUCAUGACUGGGGUGAAGUCGUAACAAGGUAACCGUAGGGGAACCUGCGGUUG
This 1508-nucleotide ribosomal RNA is filed under the name metagenome. Its description in RNAcentral is "bacterial SSU rRNA". It matches the Rfam family "Bacterial small subunit ribosomal RNA". The record is from RNAcentral.